RNAcentral lists this ribosomal RNA (253 nucleotides) under uncultured bacterium. Its description in RNAcentral is "partial 16S ribosomal RNA". It matches the Rfam family "Bacterial small subunit ribosomal RNA", at positions 524 to 776 of the family's 1533-position model. The record is from RNAcentral.
UACGUAGGGACCAAGCGUUGUUCGGAUUUACUGGGCGUAAAGGGCGCGUAGGCGGCAAAUUAAGUCAGCUGUGAAAUCUCCGAGCUUAACUCGGAACUGUCAGCUGAUACUGAUGUGCUAGAGUGCGGAGGGGCAAUCGGAAUUCUUGGUGUAGCGGUGAAAUGCGUAGAUAUCAAGAGGAACACCUGAGGUGAAGACGGGUUGCUGGGCCGACACUGACGCUGAGUGCGCGAAAGCCAGGGGAGCAAACGGG